GAACUACUCCCUCUGAUCCAUAUUAUUUAUCGCUCAAACGGAUGUAUCUAGACAUAUUUUAGUGCUAGAUGCAUCCGUUUAAGAGACAAGUAAUAUGGAUCGGAAGGAGUAUCUA
This is a non-coding RNA of Triticum aestivum (bread wheat), 115 nucleotides long. Lineage: Eukaryota; Viridiplantae; Streptophyta; Magnoliopsida; Poales; Poaceae. The record is from Rfam.